This 403-nucleotide ribosomal RNA is filed under the name bacterium. RNAcentral describes it as "partial 16S ribosomal RNA". It matches the Rfam family "Bacterial small subunit ribosomal RNA", at positions 355 to 776 of the family's 1533-position model. The record is from RNAcentral.
UGGGGAAUAUUGCACAAUGGGGGAAACCCUGAUGCAGCGACGCCGCGUGAACGAAGAAGGUAUUCGUAUCGUAAAGUUCUGUCCUAUGGGAAGAUAAUGACAGUACCAUAGAAGAAAGCUCCGGCUAAAUACGUGCCAGCAGCCGCGGUAAUACGUAUGGAGCGAGCGUUGUCCGGAAUUAUUCGGCGUAAAGGGUACGCAGGCGGUUUAAUAAGUCGAAUGUUAAAGAUCGGGGCUCAACCCCGCAAAGCAUUGGAAACUGAUAAACUUGAGUAGUGGAGAGGAAAGUGGAAUUCCUAGUGUAGUGGUGAAAUACGUAGAUAUUAGGAGGAAUACCAGUAGCGAAGGCGACUUUCUGGACACAAACUGACGCUGAGGUACGAAAGCGUGGGGAGCAAACAGG